RNAcentral lists this ribosomal RNA (800 nucleotides) under uncultured bacterium. Its description in RNAcentral is "bacterial SSU rRNA". It matches the Rfam family "Bacterial small subunit ribosomal RNA", at positions 8 to 816 of the family's 1533-position model. The record is from RNAcentral.
AGAGUUUGAUCCUGGCUCAGGACGAACGCUGGCGGCGUGCUUCAAACAUGCAAGUCGAACGGAGCCGGAGCGGGCUUGCCCGCUCCGCUUAGUGGCGGACUGGUGAGUAACGCGUGAGUAACCUGCCUCAAACAGGGGGAUAACAGAGGGAAACUUCUGCUAAUACCGCAUAAGACCCCGAUAUGGCAUCAUAAAGAGGUCAAAGGAGCAAUCUGGUUUGAGAUGGGCUUGCGUUUCAUUAGCUAGUUGGUGAGGGUAAAGGCCCACCAAGGCGACGAUGAAUAGCCGACCUGAGAGGGUGAUCGGCCACACUGGAACUGAGAUACGGUCCAGACUCCUACGGGAGGCAGCAGUUAGGAAUAUUGGGCAAUGGAGGGAACUCUGACCCAGCAACGCCGCGUGAAGGAAGAAGGUUUUCGGACUGUAAACUUCUGUUCUAGGGGAAAAAGCAAGUGAUGGUACCCUAGGAGAAAGCCACGGCUAACUACGUGCCAGCAGCCGCGGUAAUACGUAGGUGGCGAGCGUUGUCCGGAAUGACUGGGCGUAAAGGGAGCGUAGGUGGCAUCUUAAGUUAGGUGUGAAAGCCCGUGGCUUAACCACGGAACUGCACUUAAAACUGGGGAGCUAGAGUACAGGAGGGGUAAGCGGAAUUUCUAGUGUAGCGGUGGAAUGCUUAGAUAUUAGGAAGAACACCAGAGGCGAAGGCGGCUUACUGGACUGCAACUGACACUGAGGCUCGAAAGCGUGGGGAGCAAACAGGAUUAGAUACCCUGGUAGUCCACGCCCUAAACGAUGGAUAC